Molecule: long non-coding RNA, 796 nt
Organism: Dermacentor andersoni
Lineage: Eukaryota; Metazoa; Arthropoda; Arachnida; Ixodida; Ixodidae
Source: RefSeq, a predicted model, not a curated record
AAGAAAAUUCACUCUUGGGAAGUAGUGGCAUGGGCAAAGGUUCACCGUUUCAAUCUAAAGAGCUUCAGUAUUUUUUUUAUUCUUUAAAUAUGAAACUCGACUAAGAUGCCCUGCGCAUAGAAUAUAUCACUCUGAAUGAAAUGGAGCCAGGACUUCUUUAUUGCUUCUUAAUGGAAACAAUGAGUAUUUCUCUAGAAUAUUCUCGAACUUACCAGUAUUGCUAUCACGCAGAGCAAGCAUAACAUUUUGAGUAAUGUGAAACCUGUGGUUAUACAGACUUGCUUUUUCUGUAACGGGAAAUAAACUUUGAGAGGUUGGAAUUGGAAAUAAUAAAGCAAAAAAGAAAAGAUGUAGCUCUUGGUGCGUUGCUUUUGUUUCACUCAUUUCUUUCUCAUUUCAGCAAUGGCACUUCGCUGCCGACGCCAGGGAAUCUCACAUUCCGAUACGAUGUUAUUCGAACGCAUAGAGAGUUUACGAAGGUCAACACAACUUACAUAACGGAGUCAAGGAGCUACUCUUAUGGAGAAUACCCUGUUCACUUCGCAGAUGAUGUGUGUAUGGUUAUUGCGUUUCCGAGAACAUCAACCUACAUUUUCAAAAGACCUCGCUGCGCACUCUGGGUUCUCAAUACGACACUUGAAUCACCGUCCAAGUACAGACACUGCUUGUUUAUUUUGUUUGCAACCUGCAGAACUCCUAUAUAUAAUUUAUAUGAGUACGAAAAGGCGGAGUGCGAACAAUGGGGCGACCCUCAAGAGUCAACAUAUUGCCAAGCCAAUAAAUGAUAGCGUCGUAA